GACGAACGCUGGCGGCGUGCUUAACACAUGCAAGUCGAACGGAAAGGCCAGGCUUUUGUGGGGUGCUCGAGUGGCGAACGGGGGAGUAACACGUGAGUAACCUGCCCUUGACUUUGGGAUAACUUCAGGAAACUGGGGCUAAUACCGGAUAGGAGCUCCUGCUGCAUGGGGGGGGUUGGAAAGUUUCGGCGGUGGGGGAUGGACUCGCGGCUUAUCAGCUUGUUGGUGGGGUAGUGGCUUACCAAGGCUUUGACGGGUAGCCGGCCUGAGAGGGUGACCGGCCACCUUGGGACUGAGGUACGCCCCAGACUCCUACGGGAGGCAGCGGUGGGGAAUAUUGCACAAUGGGCCCAAGCCUGAUGCAGCAACGCCGCGUUCGUGAUGACGGCCUUCGAGUUGUAAACCGCCUUCGCCUUUGCCGAAGCGUGAGUGACGGUAAUGGGUAAAGAAGCACCGGCUAACUACGUG
This 468-nucleotide ribosomal RNA is filed under the name uncultured bacterium. Its description in RNAcentral is "partial 16S ribosomal RNA". It matches the Rfam family "Bacterial small subunit ribosomal RNA", at positions 28 to 507 of the family's 1533-position model. The record is from RNAcentral.